GACAGACAUCCCAUUUUAUUUCUUACCUUUAUGUUUGACAGGUUUGGGUUUGGGUUUUGGUUCUGGCUUAGGCUCCGGACAGCAUUCACCCUUCUUCAUGUAUCUGUAGUUCUUUACGCUAGAACUGUUGAAUUCGACCCUUGCAUCUGCGCCAAAGGUUAGACUACCCUUACCCACCUUAACACCAACGUUUGCUUCCUUAUUUUUCUUCUGCUCUCUAACGAUCUUUUCCUUUUUCUCUCCGCUACUCAUUUUUUAUUUAACCGGAAAAUAAAA
This is a non-coding RNA of Paramuricea clavata, 276 nucleotides long. NCBI's taxonomy places the organism in Eukaryota, Metazoa, Cnidaria, Anthozoa, Malacalcyonacea, Plexauridae. The record is from the annotation of a GenBank genome assembly.